This 399-nucleotide ribosomal RNA is filed under the name uncultured bacterium. RNAcentral's name for it is "bacterial SSU rRNA". It matches the Rfam family "Bacterial small subunit ribosomal RNA", at positions 509 to 910 of the family's 1533-position model. The record is from RNAcentral.
CAGCAGCCGCGGUAAUACGUAGGUGGCAAGCGUUGUCCGGAUUUAUUGGGUUUAAAGGGUGCGUAGGCGGCCCGGUAAGUCAGUGGUGAAAGCCUCCAGCUCAACUGGAGAACUGCCAUUGAUACUGUCGGGCUUGAGUACAGACGAGGUUGGCGGAAUUGAUAGUGUAGCGGUGAAAUGCAUAGAUACUAUCAAGAACUCCGAUUGCGUAGGCAGCUAACUAGGCUGUAACUGACGCUGAGGCACGAAAGCGUGGGGAGCGAACAGGAUUAGAUACCCUGGUAGUCCACGCUGUAAACGAUGAUUACUCGAUGUCGGCGAUAAACAGUCGGCGUCUUAGCGAAAGCGUUAAGUAAUCCACCUGGGGAGUACGCCCGCAAGGGUGAAACUCAAAGGAAU